Molecule: long non-coding RNA, 1015 nt
Filed under: Pan troglodytes (chimpanzee)
Lineage: Eukaryota; Metazoa; Chordata; Mammalia; Primates; Hominidae
Description: lincRNA
Source: RNAcentral
GAAAUAAUCAGACUCAGAAAGACAAAUAUUACAUGAUUCCAGUUAACAGAGCAGCUGGAGCACAUCCCAGGGACUUGGGAGCUCUGGAAAGAGGAGCAGGAGAGGGCCAUGGAUGGAGGAGGCCUGAAAAAGAUCAUCUCUGCCACAGAGAAGAAGCUGGCUCAGAUGCUUGUGGCCACUGUGGAGACAGGGAGACCCAGGGAGACAACAGUAUUCACUCAAGGAGGAAUGGGUGGUGAUGCAAACUUGGGUGGAGGCCACAGGGUGCAGAAGACAGGACACAGCAGAGAGAGAUGUAGGACAUGGAAGGGACAGAAAGGAGUGACCACCGGACAUAAAGAGGCAAGGAAAGUGGAAGCAUGAGAACAUCUGCUGGGCAUCUGGCGGAGGGGUCAGGUUCCCAGGGUGCCCUUCCCUAAGGGAGAACCCAGGAUAGGAGCAGAUUCAGAGAAAACCACCCAGCUCACUCCAGCAAGAAGCAGAAAAGGGACUGGUUAAAGGACAGGGUAGGAAGGUCACCAAGCUCCAAGGGCCCUCAUGAAUCCGGCUUGUAGGCCACAGGGCCCAGGGCAAGGACCAAACCACAGGCACAGGACAGCUCCGGCCAAGAUCUUCUGGCUACUGCAGGAGGCAGAAACCACACCCUGCACCCUGCACUGCUGAGGCUAGCCCUGGAGUCCAGAAGCUUCUGCACCAGAACCUUUGGUCUCCCAUCCCCCUCAAAAAAUUAAAAACAAAAAGCAAAUCGGUGCCAUGCACCCUCUGUUUUCUGGUGCUGUUCAGGAUCCUGUGUCUUUCACGGGAGCACCUGAUGGGGAAAGCCUGUACCUGUGUUGGUGUCCCUCCUGCAAGGAGUGCUGGGACAAUGAAAUUUCUGGCUUCCUCCUUGGGAAGGCAGAACAUUCCCCAUGUGUACUGGUGGCAUUUAAAAACUGCAGGGCAGCCAGAGAACAUGCACCAUGUUCCACCAGGAGAGUUUCUGGCAGGUUGUCCCGGUGCAGACACCCGUCCCAAG